RNAcentral lists this ribosomal RNA (406 nucleotides) under uncultured bacterium. RNAcentral describes it as "partial 16S ribosomal RNA". It matches the Rfam family "Bacterial small subunit ribosomal RNA", at positions 30 to 526 of the family's 1533-position model. The record is from RNAcentral.
AUUGAACGCUGGCGGCAGGCCUAACACAUGCAAGUCGAGCGAGCGGCGGACGGGUGAGUAAUGUAUGGGGAUCUGCCCGAUAGAGGGGGAUAACUACUGGAAACGGUGGCUAAUACCGCAUACUAUCGGAUGAACCCAUAUUGGAUUAGCUAGUUGGUGGGGUAAAGGCUCACCAAGGCGACGAUCCCUAACUGGUCUGAGAGGAUGAUCAGUCACACUGGAACUGAGACACGGCCCAGACUCCUACGGGAGGCAGCAGUGGGGAAUAUUGGACAAUGGGCGCAAGCCUGAUGCAGCCAUGCCGCGUGUGUGAAGAAGGCCUUAGGAUUGUAAAGUACUUUCAGCUGGGAGGCGUUACCAGCAGAAGAAGCACCGGCUAACUACGUGCCAGCAGCCGCGGUAAUUC